Molecule: small nucleolar RNA, 134 nt
Organism: Tupaia belangeri (northern tree shrew)
Lineage: Eukaryota; Metazoa; Chordata; Mammalia; Scandentia; Tupaiidae
Source: Ensembl
CAGCAUCCAGUGAUAGACCUUGAACAGUCUGCUUCAUCUGUUCUUAACAGUUUGCAUUAGGAUGUGAGAGAGAAAAACAUUCCUGUGUUUUCUGGGUCUCUGUGGUGACCCAGAUUGAACUGGUGAGUAUGACU